GCUGUGCUGGGGAAAGGAGGAGGGAAGCUGUGGCCCUCAGCCAGCUGUCCUUUAAAAAUUAAUCACUAUAGGCACCAACUAAUUUUUCUCAUGGCUGAUCCUUCAAAAUGUACGUGGGGAAAACUGGAAAGUGCAACAGACUGUAGAAAUCUACUUCUCUGGACAGAGCCUUCUGACAGUUUCACAAUGAAGACAAACGCAUACGUGGAGAGAGAGAUGUCAGAGUGGAAAGGCUCCUGAAAUGAGACCUAUCAGCUAACUGGCAAAGACAUAAUAGGCUGCAUGCCUCUGCAGAACUAUAAUAAACAAUCUUUGUUUUCAUUAUUGCUCCUUAAUUUAGUUAAACUAGAAUGUGGUAGAACACUAUGGUUACUGGAAGAACAGAUCCCGAUAGGACUGAGCUUUUUCAGCCGCAGACCUGGGUUUUCCACUGUAUUUGAGUAUAUAGGAGAGGAGAGCAAUGAAAA
Long non-coding RNA from Gallus gallus (chicken), 467 nucleotides. RefSeq lists it as uncharacterized. The record is from RefSeq and is a predicted model, not a curated record. NCBI's taxonomy places the organism in Eukaryota, Metazoa, Chordata, Aves, Galliformes, Phasianidae. The transcript has 3 exons.